AUGUCAGUGACAAAACGGCAGGCUGCCGUACGUCAGAGGAUCCUCACCCUUGGUCACCGUCCCGCACAAACCCUACCCUUUCAAGGGCUCCCAGAUCGAUGCAGCCGCCUCCCUUAUCCCUCUCUUCCUCCCCCAAUGCGCCGGCCGCCGCCACCUGCCAUACCGCGUCCCCGCUGCGGCCAUGGCCUCUUCAAGAGGCACGCCCCUCCAUGGUCAGAAGCAGCAGACCAGGAUCCGGAUGAGGAAGAGGAGAUCCGGGCGCCCCAACGGUGGAUCGAUCGAUGCCCGGAUGAGGAAGAGGAGAUCCAGGCGCCCCAAUGGUGGAUCGAUCGUUGCGAGGUGACGACGAGCUCCUCCGGACGUGGGGGAGCAGUGAGGCUGGAGAUCCAGUCGGUGCAUGCCCCACGGGGUUGGGGAGACGCCGGCAAUAGGGGCAAGGUGCAUCAGGGUCGAAGCUGCAGCGCUCCGGUCCCCAAGCCGCCUCCAGGCUCGCUUCCUCCUCCAUCCUCCCGCAUCUCAUCCAUCUCGACGGAUACGAGGCGUGCGGGCACGGAGGCGAGGUUCUCCGGCGGCGGCGGGAACCUCCAGGCAGAGAGCGACCCCAUGGAUCCGUCCCUGCAGAAGAGAAGGAAGGAGAGGAGACAGGCCAUGGAGAUGGGAUGAGAACGUCCAUGGCCAGCCAAUCGAGCCCACCUCCGGUGCGCGACCCCAGGAAGGAUUUUGCGCUGCCGUCUUCUUUCGCCGGUCUGUGCCCUGGAAGAGCGACACCAGCCAGGCAUUGUAUGGGAAUGAAGCAAAAAGUCUGCCUUCCAUUGGCGUUACUGCACCUGGUUAUCUACAGUGGAAGGCAAGGAUAACUAGAUUAAACAUUUCACAAGACCCUCCCAAUUACAGGCACAAACUCCUUUCAAGAUAUUACAAGUGUGGUUGAUUACGGGAGAUUGUCAGAUGAAAAGAAGGUAUAUCCUUUAUAUUUAUCUAGAUGUUUAAUUAGCUGCACAACCAUACGUGAUUCUAUAAGGAAACUAUUUAUCCUGGCGAUCUUGAUAUCCAGUCAUGUAUUACAAUAUUAGUAUAGGCUGUAAUUUUUGGCUAGGAAUCUAUAUAUACAGAACCUAAACUGAAGACUCAAUAUAGCACAUAUACUUGGCCAGUUAUCCUAAGAAUAUUAAUCCACCUGGACUUUUAACUUGACUUCCAAAGAAGUUCUUAACGAUCAAGCAUUUUUGAGUUUUUAGUAAAUUGAAAUAAUGUUGCACUUUGACAAUACUAUUCUGAUUUUGCAAGUUAAUAGAAAUCCUUCAGUUUCAUACCACUUUUUUAAUCGCGCAUUUGGAUGAGUAUUAGUAUAGGCUGUAAUUUUUGGCUAGGAAUCUAUAUAUACAGAACCUAAACUGAAGACUCAAUAUAGCACAUAUACUUGGCCAGUUAUCCUAAGAAUAUUAAUCCACCUGGACUUUUAACUUGACUUCCAAAGAAGUUCUUAACGAUCAAGCAUUUUUGAGUUUUUAGUAAAUUGAAAUAAUAUUGCACUUUGACAAUACUAUUCUGAUUUUGCAAGUUAAUAGAAAUCCUUCAAUUUCAUACCACUUUUUUAAUCGCACAUUUGGAUGAUUGCGACAUUAUCUCUUCUCAGAAUUCCGCUUGCAUGUUUCCAGUUGAGACAAUAACUGAGUUUGAUAAGUAACCACUAUAUUAUUUUCUAUGUGUACACAUGUUGUCGCUCUGCUUGAGUCAUCCAUCUCCACAUUACGAGCCCGAGACUUCCAUCACAACAAACUAUAUGUAUCCAGGUAGUGUCCAAUAUGUACACACAGGCUCCUCUCACAGGCCGACUAAGCUGAUUGUAACUGAAUGUGUGUGUGUGGCCGUGAAGCAGACUUUAUCUUGGUCUGAGUAUCAGUUCCCUUCAAUGGUACAAUUUUGGAUACUAUUUUCUUCUAGAUGUAUAGGUUUCUGCUGGUCCCAUUGGCUGCUACAUUUUAGUGAUACGAUAGCUCAAUGUCAUGCUCACCUAUUGUUCUGUAAAAAUGAAAAAUCGACUUGACUGUAUUUUGUACCUGUUUUAGUAAUUACAUGAUGUGAUUAUUUUCAUUCUAGAUAUGGAAAUAUUCUAAGGAUUAAGCUUUUUGAGACGUUAAGGUAUCUGAUGAUUAAUUAGCCUCUGUAAGAUUUAUGCACUCAUGUCAUACAACCUAGAUAAUUCUCCUUGGAUCUCCAUAAUUUCUAACUGAAUAUAGAUGUAUACUGACAGUAAAUCCCGUUUUAGUAAUUAGUUGGAUAUAAUUGAUAAUUCUUUGACAUGUUUUUAUGAAAUGUCUGCUUAAAUCAACGUUAGAUGCUCCCAUAAUCGAUUACUUUUUGGAUAUGAAUUAUUACUAUAAGAAGUAUAUUGGUUCUCUGGUGUUUUCAGUUCUUACAAUAAACAAAUUAUAUUGUUUUCCACUAAUCAUUUCUCAUGUAGUUUUACUCUGCAGUAUGUAUCUUUUGCUUCAUAACUCAUCUGUUCACAAGAUUGAUGCCUAGAAAUUUCAGCCUUCCGUGCUAAAUGUCGUCUGCUCAUUUGUAACGGCAUAGAGAUAGGAACGAGCAAUUCAUCUUAAGUUUGAGAAAGUGGCGGACAAAAGAGAACUGGACUAUUGUUGCUGAGCGCUAGCUCUGGCCGCAUGAUCAUCUAUAUAUAUAGUUUUCAACAGUGAAUGUAUCCUGAUUGGUAUAGCACAAAUGGAAAUCUUACUUUCUUCUAACUCUUAAUUUCAAGAUGAACUGGAGAGGGGAAUUUGUACUAAGUUUGGAAUCUAUCACAGUAAGUGUGUAUUUGCGGUAUUGAUGUACAGUUAUUAAGAAAGUUACAUUUUUCAGCUGUUGUGCUACUGAGAAGGAAGCAUGGCUGAGAAUUGCUCUGGCUGGAGUUGAAUGUCUUUGUGACUGAAUACUAGAGACGCUGACUUGCAGCCACUCUUUACAGUCCUACCACCUAGCUUUUAUCUCUCACCUUCUGUUAUUUUCAUGUUAACACUGCCAUUGGGGCAAAUCUAUAUUGCUUAUUGAUGGGUCUAGCUAUAGGUAAAAUUCCAUGUUUCCUACACUGUAUUAUACCCAAUACUAUUUGAAUGUUGAUUCUGACAAUCUUAAGACAUCCACCAUAGUCGUGGC
RNAcentral lists this ribosomal RNA (3156 nucleotides) under Triticum aestivum (bread wheat). RNAcentral's name for it is "partial small subunit ribosomal RNA". Lineage: Eukaryota; Viridiplantae; Streptophyta; Magnoliopsida; Poales; Poaceae. The record is from RNAcentral.